RNAcentral lists this ribosomal RNA (253 nucleotides) under uncultured bacterium. RNAcentral's name for it is "partial 16S ribosomal RNA". It matches the Rfam family "Bacterial small subunit ribosomal RNA", at positions 524 to 776 of the family's 1533-position model. The record is from RNAcentral.
UACGUAGGGUGCAAGCGUUAAUCGGAAUUACUGGGCGUAAAGCGUACGCAGGCGGCUUUGCAAGACAGGUGUGAAAUCCCCGGGCCUAACCUGGGAACUGCAUUUGUGACUGCAUAGCUAGAGUUUGUCAGAGGGGGGUGGAAUUCCACGUGUAGCAGUGAAAUGCGUAGAUAUGUGGAGGAACACCGAUGGCGAAGGCAGCCCCCUGGGUCAAGAUUGACGCUCAUGCACGAAAGCGUGGGGAGCAAACAGG